GAGUUUGAUUAUGGCUCAGGAUGAACGCUGACAGAAUGCUUAACACAUGCAAGUCUACUUGAAUUUGGGUUUUUUAACUUCGAUUUGGGUGGCGGACGGGUGAGUAACGCGUAAAGAACUUGCCUCACAGCUAGGGACAACAUUUGGAAACGAAUGCUAAUACCUGAUAUUAUGAUUUUAGGGCAUCCUAGAAUUAUGAAAGCUAUAUGCGCUGUGAGAGAGCUUUGCGUCCCAUUAGCUAGUUGGAGAGGUAACGGCUCACCAAGGCGAUGAUGGGUAGCCGGCCUGAGAGGGUGAUCGGCCACAAGGGGACUGAGACACGGCCCUUACUCCUACGGGAGGCAGCAGUGGGGAAUAUUGGACAAUGGACCAAGAGUCUGAUCCAGCAAUUCCGUGUGCACGAUGAAGUUUUUCGGAAUGUAAAGUGCUUUCAGUUGGGAAGAAAAAAAUGACGGACCAACAGAAGAA
This 468-nucleotide ribosomal RNA is filed under the name Fusobacterium canifelinum. RNAcentral's name for it is "bacterial SSU rRNA". It matches the Rfam family "Bacterial small subunit ribosomal RNA", at positions 9 to 489 of the family's 1533-position model. Lineage: Bacteria; Fusobacteriati; Fusobacteriota; Fusobacteriia; Fusobacteriales; Fusobacteriaceae. The record is from RNAcentral.